UGAUUCCUGGGGUGUGCGAGAACCCUGUUAUUUUGAACCUACAUUUUCUUUUUGGGAAUCUUAAAUUGUCGGCUGGAUGCCAGGCCACCGAAUUCGCAGUGGAAGGCAGAAGACCGAUUGCGGAAUCCCCCCUAGCUUUGCUAGGAGUCAAAAUUGCAGGAACGGCACUCUGGGAUCAC
This 179-nucleotide non-coding RNA is filed under the name Eubacterium ramulus. RNAcentral describes it as "6S RNA". It matches the Rfam family "6S / SsrS RNA". Rfam says of the family: E. coli 6S RNA was the first non coding RNA to be sequenced, but its function was unknown until recently. It consists of 184 nucleotides that fold into an extended hairpin structure with a large single-stranded internal bulge. RNAcentral also lists the same sequence under 2 other names. The record is from RNAcentral. Lineage: Bacteria; Bacillati; Bacillota; Clostridia; Eubacteriales; Eubacteriaceae.